GUCAUGUUUUUGGUAGGGCAUAACUUAUGGGUUUUGCGUCACCGAUAUGACGAGUUGUGUCGCUGUGGCUGAAAUUAUAAUAAUAUGGUAUUCAUAUUAACGAAAUAGAAAGCAAAAAAACAAAGACUGAUAACCACCAUAAAAAUUUGUUUGUAAGAGCCGUCUUUUGUUGUUGUCACUUUUAACAUUCACAUAAAUUAAACACCUAAAAGAAAAUAAGUCUCGCCGUUAUAAGCGAUUUCCAAAUGUCUAAUGAGUCAAUUAUAAUGGAGAAAACGUCCUAUUCACUUAGUAUGAUCAUUAAAGAACAAAAUAUUAUUUGUAAGGAAACAUUCUUCCUACGAACUCCUUUUUACAAUCGAGUUCAACAUUAUAUUUAUGUUUUGUAUCUAUUUACAACAGGGAAAAAAAUAAAAGAAAUCCCGUAGGACUCAUUUGCGCAAAAUAUUUCAAAUGUUUACUUCAAUAAGCUUCAAGCAUUAUUAUGAUAAAUAUUCAUAAUGACAGUCCAAAUAUCUAUUCACUUAAUAGGGCUGUCGUAAAAGUGGCAUAAUUUGGUAGGCGGAGUUGAGUAAUGAGGUAAUUUCCACGACGAAACGCCGACUUGUGAGAAAUGACACGACAGCUGAGAAAAUAUCCAAGAUUCUAUUGUCUCCCGCCCACCUUACCAAAACAAUAGCUGUAGGAAAGUAACCGCUUUCAUAACUUUGUGUUCAACUAUGGUACGCUAUUUGACGAAAUUAUUUAGGCGGUGAAAGGACAUUGUUAUUUUUGAAAAUUAUGACUAGUUACUUAGUUAGUAUUGAGGAAUAAAAUAUGAUGUCGAAUGGCAAAGAAUAUUUGGAUUAAUAGCAUUAGAAUCUUCAUGAAUAGUUGGAAUGUUAUUGCUUAUAAGGCUAUGUGAAGUUAUUAAUUGUCAUUGUACCCUUAGAAUACUGGAUGUAAGUAUAGAUAUUAUAUAAACUGUUAAGCGACAAUGAGCUUCAGAAGGCUACUCGUGUAUAACUUUCUAAAGAAACUAGCUGGGAUGGAAACCCAAGGCUUCGUCCGCGAAGUCAAAGAAAAAGAAGGAACGAGAUAUUUCACCUUCAGAAGUAUUAACACGGAAAUGCUUUUUCUUAAAACGACAUAUUUUAAUUAGGUUUAUUGUUUCGUUGUUCAAUUGUUUAGGUUUAUAUUCAUCUUUUUUAAUUUAAUCAAUACUUCAAUAUAUAUAACACAUGGUAAAUUCAAAGUUUAAACUACGUCAAGUUUAUUAAUGGGGUACUAGCUCAGGUUUAAGGAACUACGAAUUAUACGAAGUUAUGUCAUACGUUGCAAAUUCUUCAUUUGUAAAGCUUCGCAUGAAUCUAUCAUUGCACGUAAUAUUCGCAUGCAAUUAGUUUGAAUGUGGCUUAGUUGUGAAGUUAUAAAUAGAAUAUAUGAGAUUCUAUGAUACUUCACUUCUGGAACGUUCUAGAAAAUAAUACUCUACUAACACGUGAAUACAACUCGAUUCAAGGUCGCAUUGUCUUCAGUUUGAAUUACUUGGAAGAUCUCAGAAGUACUUUCAACCAGGAAGCUAUUAAUCCUAAAAUAGUUUCACUACAAUACUAUCGUCAGAGAAAUAAAACUUUUCCACUACA
Molecule: long non-coding RNA, 1625 nt
Organism: Colias croceus (clouded yellow)
Lineage: Eukaryota; Metazoa; Arthropoda; Insecta; Lepidoptera; Pieridae
Exons: 2
Source: RefSeq, a predicted model, not a curated record